GAACGGGUGAGUAACACGUGGGCAAUCUGCCCUGCACUCUGGGACAAGCCUUGGAAACGAGGUCUAAUACCGGAUAUUACCCUUGGCCGCAUGGCCUUGGGUGGAAAGCUCCGGCGGUGCAGGAUGAGCCCGCGGCCUAUCAGCUUGUUGGUGGGGUGAUGGCCUACCAAGGCGACGACGGGUAGCCGGCCUGAGAGGGCGACCGGCCACACUGGGACUGAGACACGGCCCAGACUCCUACGGGAGGCAGCAGUGGGGAAUAUUGCACAAUGGGCGAAAGCCUGAUGCAGCGACGCCGCGUGAGGGAUGAAGGCCUUCGGGUUGUAAACCUCUUUCAGCAGGGAAGAAGCGCAAGUGACGGUACCUGCAGAAGAAGCACCGGCUAACUACGUGCCAGCAGCCGCGGUAAUACGUAGGGUGCGAGCGUUGUCCGGAAUUAUUGGGCGUAAAGAGCUCGUAGGCGGCUUGUCACGUCGGAUGUGAAAGCCCGGGGCUUAACCCCGGGUCUGCAUUCGAUACGGGCAGGCUAGAGUGUGGUAGGGGAGAUCGGAAUUCCUGGUGUAGCGGUGAAAUGCGCAGAUAUCAGGAGGAACACCGGUGGCGAAGGCGGAUCUCUGGGCCAUUACUGACGCUGAGGAGCG
RNAcentral lists this ribosomal RNA (641 nucleotides) under Streptacidiphilus sp. I13A-00623. RNAcentral describes it as "bacterial SSU rRNA". It matches the Rfam family "Bacterial small subunit ribosomal RNA", at positions 100 to 755 of the family's 1533-position model. Lineage: Bacteria; Bacillati; Actinomycetota; Actinomycetes; Kitasatosporales; Streptomycetaceae. The record is from RNAcentral.